RNAcentral lists this ribosomal RNA (459 nucleotides) under uncultured bacterium. RNAcentral describes it as "partial 16S ribosomal RNA". It matches the Rfam family "Bacterial small subunit ribosomal RNA", at positions 338 to 795 of the family's 1533-position model. The record is from RNAcentral.
CCUACGGGUGGCAGCAGUGAGGAAUAUUGGUCAAUGGGCGCGAGCCUGAACCAGCCAAGUAGCGUGAAGGAUGACUGCCCUACGGGUUGUAAACUUCUUUUAUAAAGGAAUAAAGUGAGGCACGUGUGCCUUUUGUAUGUACUUUAUGAAUAAGGAACGGCUAACCUCGUGCCAGCAGCCGCGGUAAUACGGAGGAUUCGAGCGUUAUCCGGAUUUAUUGGGUUUAAAGGGAGCGUAGAUGGGUUGUUAAGUCAGUGGUGAAAGUUUGCGGCUCAACCGUAAAAUUGCAAUUGAUACUGGUAGCCUAGAGUACAGUUGAGGUAGGCGGAAUGCGUGGUGUAGCGGUGAAAUGCUUAGAGAUCACGAAGAACUCCGAUUGCGAAGGCAGCCUACUAAGCUACCUCUGACAUUGAGGCUCGAAAGUGUGGGUAUCAAACAGGAUUAGAUACCCCAGUAGUC